UCAGACUGAAUAAUAUGCAUGUUAACCAUGUAUAAUCUACAUAAUGUUAACCAUGUUGCAUAAUGUUAACCAUGCUGUAUAAUCUACAUGAUGUUAACCAUGCAGUAUAAUCUACAUGAUGUUAACCAUACAGUAUAAUCUACAUGAUGUUAACCAUGCUGUAUAAUCUACAUGAUGUUAACCAUGCUGUAUAAUCUACAUAAUGUUAACCAUGCUUUUUAAUCUACAUGAUGUUAACCAUACAGUAUAAUCUACAUGAUGUUAACCAUGCUUUUUAAUCUACAUGUUAAUCAUGCUGUAUAAUCUACAUAAUGUUAACCAUGCUGUAUAAUUUAUACUCUGAUAUUGGUUGCCGGAUUCCUGAUAAUGCACUGUUCCAAGUGGUUCAUUCCCUCUCCUCUCUCCUGUAACUAUUCCCCAGGUCAUUGCUGUUCCAAGUGGUUCAUUCCCUCUCCUCUCCCCUGUAACUAUUCCCCAGGUCAUUGCUGUUCCAAGUGGUUCAUUCCCUCUCCUCUCCCCUGUAACUAUUCCCCAGGUCAUUGCUGUAAAUGAGAAUGUGUUCUCGGGUCAUCUUAACUGCUAAAAUAAUUGUUAGCAUUGUUCCAUCUAAUGACAUGUGAAUGUAGUUCUAGAUAAUAUAACUGUAUCCUGGCCCUAUAUGGUUCAGUUGGUAUAGCAUGGCGCUUGCGCAGCCAUGGUUCAAUUCCCGGGACCACCCAUACAUAAAAUAUAUGCACACGUUACUGUAA
Molecule: long non-coding RNA, 749 nt
Filed under: Salmo salar (Atlantic salmon)
Lineage: Eukaryota; Metazoa; Chordata; Actinopteri; Salmoniformes; Salmonidae
Description: lncRNA (ENSSSAG00000104816.1, ENSSSAG00000107137.1)
Source: RNAcentral